RNAcentral lists this ribosomal RNA (254 nucleotides) under uncultured bacterium. RNAcentral describes it as "partial 16S ribosomal RNA". It matches the Rfam family "Bacterial small subunit ribosomal RNA", at positions 524 to 776 of the family's 1533-position model. The record is from RNAcentral.
UACGGGGGGAGCAAGCGUUGUUCGGAUUUACUGGGCGUAAAGGGCGCGUAGGCGGCCAGCGCAAGUCAGUUGUGAAAUCUCCGGGCUUAACUCGGAACGGUCAACUGAUACUGCGCGGCUAGAGUGCAGAAGGGGCAACUGGAAUUCUCGGUGUAGCGGUGAAAUGCGUAGAUAUCGAGAGGAACACCUGCGGCGAAGGCGGGUUGCUGGGCUGACACUGACGCUGAGGCGCGAAGGCUAGGGGAGCAAACGGG